This is a long non-coding RNA of Bacillus rossius redtenbacheri, 1221 nucleotides long. RefSeq lists it as uncharacterized. Lineage: Eukaryota; Metazoa; Arthropoda; Insecta; Phasmatodea; Bacillidae. The record is from RefSeq and is a predicted model, not a curated record. The transcript has 2 exons.
UUUGUCAUCAUACGUAUUUAUUUUUAUAGGUGGAUCAUUCCUUUUUGUGCUAAGUCUGCACUAGGCACACAUUUCUUCUUGGAUUUACACCUGAGCACAGUUCUCCAGAACGUCUCUCGACUGGAAUGGAGGGCCACGCAAGUGCAGUAGACUGCAGGGGGCAGUACCCGACAGCCGGAGACACGGAAGGCUGGGUACCUUGCGGCCUGCGAGGUACUCCAUGCCGCGCGCCACCUGGAAGGCCCAGCACAGCAGGUCCCUGGUGAAGAUGGCGGAGAUGUUGCCGUGCGGAUAGUCGCCGUGGAAGUUGGACCUCCAGCCCGGCUGCACGCUGUUGUUGCUCAGCAUCGGGCUCUCCUCAUCGCCUGGGGUGCAGAGCAACGUUUCAAACAUUCUCAACUGAUACACACACACACACACACAUGUGUGUGUGCAUUUAAUUUUGGGUUUUGCUCCCAACUUUUUGAAUCUUUGUCAAGAAAUACCAACUGUAACAUGACUUUUUUUUAGGAACUGGAGAUUAGUCUUAGUUAAGUAAAUUAAUAACUAUAUUUUUAAACAUACUUAACAGAAGACUAAUUUUGACCAAAAGGAAGAAAGAUAUUUUUUCACAGAAAAAUAUUUACUUUAACAACUUUAUAGGCUAAGAAAAAAUAUAAAUAAGGCACACACAACUGUGCUAUUUUAAAUAAUUAUAAUUUUUUCAUAAACAUAAUAAUUUGUAAAGGAAUUUUGUUAUUUGGAAACUCUGACUCAGUAGAGUUGUUUUUAAGUAGACUCUAGACAAAACCUUGACUUUCAAGAGUCAGCAUUUUAAUGUCAGUUAGCUUAGUAAGAACCUAAUAACACUUUAAGUAUGGGUAAAACAAGGAAAGGUAAAAAAAAAGAUCACUUGAUGAGCUAAAGAGCCACUCUCACCCUUACGUUCAACCCUCUAUUGAUAGUAACUUAAAAUAUAUGAAAUAAGGUUUUCUGAAGGGGGGAAAAUUGCAAUAACAUUAGUUUGUAAACUUCAUCCCAGCCUGUCCUUCAUGAGCUUGCAGAUGGACACAGGUUCGUCGAGAAAAAUUUUGUCAGGCCUCCUCCCCAUUAAUAAAUGUAGAAUUUUUCAUACAUCACAAUUUUAAAAAAAUAUUAAGACUGUAAACGUUUCCAUGGCCAUUACUGUGCCUGUGUGUAUUAUAUAACUUGUUAAAUUUCUAAUAAAUUCUGUUAGCAACA